AGUGGCGGACGGGUGAGUAACACAUGGGUAACCUACCCCAAAGUGAGGAAUACCGGCGAGAAAUCGCCGACAAGACCGCAUAUGCCGCGAGCAAAGUCGCGCUUUGGGAUGGGCCUGUGGCCGAUUAGCUGGUUGGUGGGGUAAUGGCCUACCAAAGCGACGAUCGGUAGCUGGUCUGAGAGGAUGAUCAGCCACACUGGGAUUGAGAACGGCCCAGACUCCUACGGGAGGCAGCAGUGAGGAAUUUUCGGCAAUGGGCGCAAGCCUGACCGAGCAACGCCGCGUGCAGGACGAAGGUCUUCGGAUCGUAAACUGCUUUUCUCGGGGAUGAAUGACAGUACCCGAGGAAGAAGCCUCGGCUAACUACGUGCCAGCAGCCGCGGUAAUA
Molecule: ribosomal RNA, 388 nt
Filed under: uncultured soil bacterium
Lineage: Bacteria
Description: bacterial SSU rRNA
Rfam family: Bacterial small subunit ribosomal RNA
Source: RNAcentral